RNAcentral lists this ribosomal RNA (344 nucleotides) under Ornithinibacillus hominis. RNAcentral describes it as "Bacterial small subunit ribosomal RNA". It matches the Rfam family "Bacterial small subunit ribosomal RNA", at positions 1 to 321 of the family's 1533-position model. The record is from Rfam by way of RNAcentral. Lineage: Bacteria; Bacillati; Bacillota; Bacilli; Caryophanales; Bacillaceae.
UUUUUGGAGAGUUUGAUCUUGGCUCAGGACGAACGCUGGCGGCGUGCCUAAUACAUGCAAGUCGAGCGAGUGAAAUUAAUUGAUCCCUUCGGGGUGACGUUAAUGGAUCUAGCGGCGGACGGGUGAGUAACACGUGGGCAACCUGCCUGUAAGACUGGGAUAACUCGCGGAAACGCGAGCUAAUACCGGAUAACACUUCGAACCACAUGGUUUGAAGAUGAAAGGCGGCGCAAGCUGUCACUUACAGAUGGGCCCGCGGCGCAUUAGCUAGUUGGUGAGGUAACGGCUCACCAAGGCGACGAUGCGUAGCCGACCUGAGAGGGUGAUCGGCCACACUGGGACUG